GAUGAAGAACGCAGUGAAAUGCGAUAAGUAAUGCGAAUUGCAGAAUUUCCGUGAGUCAUCGAAUCUUUGAACGCACAUUGCGCCCACUGGUAUUCCGGUGGGCAUGCCUGUUCGAGCGUCAUUAUCCUCCCUCAAACCCCGGGUUUGGUGUUGGACCCAAGUUGUGUGAACAACUGGUCUUAAAGACAAUGACGGCGUCCGUGGGACCCUCGGUGCAACGAGCUUUUAGGAGCACGCAUCGAGUUGCAAGGACCUUCCGGGCCGGUCUCCUUUACUAUUUUACAAGGUUGACCUCGGAUCAGGUAGGAAUACCCGCUGAACUUAAGCAUAUCAAAAGCGGAGGA
Molecule: unclassified non-coding RNA, 344 nt
Filed under: soil metagenome
Description: partial contains 5.8S ribosomal RNA, internal transcribed spacer 2, and large subunit ribosomal RNA
Rfam family: 5.8S ribosomal RNA (bases 1-121)
Source: RNAcentral